AAAAGAGGUAUAAUUGUUCUGCAGUUUGCUUGCAUUCAGUUUUAUUUUGAAACUUCUGUCUGAAGUAGGAGCUGCACACAUAUGGAUCAGGCUGAACAAGUCAUUUCACCCCACUCUGUCUCAAUUUCCCUGUCUAUACGGUGAGAAUGAUGAAACUUCUAUAGAAGUAUUGAGUACCUAUGGGCAGAAAGAGUGGUUCAGUUAAAUUUCACCUGACACAGAACAGACUGAAUGUUUUUUUCUCUGUGUCCAUGUUCCUGUCAAAAGAUAUAGGACAGUUAGUACUCAUAAACUAGCAUCAUACUUUGAUGUGCUACAUCUUUGUCUGGUAUUAACAGGCAUAGCUCCAUCCACAAAGCUGCACCCAGUAACCAGCAGAAGACAUACAGCUGUAGCAAGGAGCAAAGGCAGGCACAGCACUUCCCAGGAUUUUAUGCUGACUUGAGCUCCUUUUGUCCAGUACUUGACAAGGGGCCCAGGCUAAAUAGGAGGCCACAGGGCAAAGGGCAAAAGAAUGAUACUAAUUCACAAACAGCCUCAUAAAACUACUCUUAUUGGCUCUUUAAAAAGUUGUAACUGUCUGCCAAAAGAACUACACAUGGAUGAGGUCACCACGAGCAGUCAGCAAGCCCUGCUAUGCAAGAGAAAGAUCUGGUCAUGUUUUGCUUAAACCAAUAGAGAGGUAGGUACAACAGAGGGAAUCCUAGCCUGGCUAGCUGGCCACGGUCCACCUACUUUCUUGUCAGGCAGUCACCAGAAGUGGACAAAUUUGUGCUUCAGUCUUAACUUAAUGGUGUCCAUAGGUUAAAAAAAUAUAUGUGAUCCAGCGAGUGUUUCUGUAAGAUGCUGAUUCCCAAUCCAGCAAACCACUUCAGGAUGUGAAAGUAUCAUUGUUUUCAUUUGUCAUUACCUGCUGUUUCAUACAGAAAGGACCUACCUUGCACACCCACUACUACUGUGGGUCAGGGUGCUCUCUGUGUUUCUUUUUCUUCACAUGAACUAUCUCAUUAAGUAAAUAAAAAAGAUUGCUGAAGAACACCACCUGCUUUUCUGGUUUCAGUGGGGGAAAAAAAAUCACUUUUCUCCCCACAGCUUUUUAAAUCUCAUAAAUACAUCAUUAGAAUACCGGAUUACUGCUCGGUUCCAGAUCAUAUUUUAUUCAAGUAUAUCUUAGGCUUUCAUUUUUGUCUUUUGUCAUAACUUCCUUGUCCCAUAUUUAUCAAACAAAGCUUAACUUACAGCUCGUUUUUGUUUGUUUAGUGUGGUGUGGGUUUUUGCCAACCACAAACAUAAUUUAUUUAUUUAUUUGGUUUGGCAAAUGGUAAAGCUUUUUUCUCACAUAAUUUUCCUUGCAGUUCUCUUUCACUCUUGCUAAACAAAUCACUCCAUUAAGCAAUGAAGCCUGCUACCUCUAUAUACCCACCUCCCCCACAAGGAUCACCUCAUUUAUCACAAAGAUUCAACAGUGAAACAGUCAUCAUUUUAUUUUGCUGCUUUCUUCACGGGACUAUGAAGGAUAGUUUUAUGAGGUUGUUUGUGAAUUAGCAUCUAUAAUUUUCCCUUUGCCCUCUGAUCUCUCUGUUUGAGACCCUUGGCAAGAACAGAACAAAUGAGUGGAACUGAAUACAAAACCAUGGGAAAUGCUGUGCCUGAAUUUGUUUGGCUCAACAGCUGGAAGAAAACAACUUAAGUGAUGUUAAGCUUAUUAAUACCACGUGAGAAUUAAGGAUUUCAACCAAUGAGAUAAUUAGAUUUUGUAUGCUCUGAAGCAAAUAGAGAAAACCAGGCUAACCUAGCUCUUCAGAAAAACUGGUCCAGUUUAUCAGGGUUAAUCCAAGCUUUGGAUGCACAAGUUCUGAUGCAGUAAACAGUUGAGCAAGUGGAUCCACGAGGACCAGAACCAAUCAAGUCAGGUCCAAGCAAUCUCUACCAGUGCAAAUUUUCUGAAGGCUGGAAGAAAUCAGCUUUUUAGCCUUUUUCUCAGUAAGAACACUAGCAUGGUGUCUGCAGGAGUUUCCUCUCUUUUAAACCUCCUGCUUUACAGUCUUAUUGCGAUAACUGUCACAUUCAAAACUAUUUAAGGGAAAGGGAAAACAAAUACUCAUACACUCAUGCACACAGACACUCACACGUACACACACCCAGAACAGGAUUGCAUAAACUCCAUUUCCUUAGGAAGCAGGACUAAAACUGAAGUGUUUACAUGAAAUAGCAAAGCAAAGAAGCCAAGGCUUUGGAAGGCUUUCAGCCAGAUUCUUGUCUUCUGUAAAUCAGUGCGGAGAGCAAUAGAGCAGUACCAAUUUGCACCAAUUUGGGGCAUCUGGCCCUUAUUCUUGACUAGUCCAUUGUAUAUCCAGUCUUUGCAAAAUGAAAAUGUCAGGUUUUUGAGACCAGGAUCAAAGAUGUGUUGGAAAGGACAUUUACUAGGGAAUUGAAAACCCACAAGGGAUAGUGCAUGAAGGCUAAAUAAUAUUGUUUUAAAGUAAUGGCUACAACAUUUUCAGGAAGCUUGCUUUCCCUGGAUACAUCCCAUUUUAAGGCAUCACUGUUCAGUCUCAUAAAGAACACUAUUGCUGACAAAAUAGCCUCCAGUUCUUGCUGUUUCAACUACUGCAUUGAUCAAUUUGAAAUGUCUGUUUGCCUGACAUGACGGGGAGCACAAAUGAUCUGAAAUGUGAUAUGGCGUUGCAAGAUGAUUUGAACUACUCUUUACAUCUUUCUUCCUUUUUUCAGAAGAAUGACAGUAAGCCAAAAGAGUAAAUGAAACCUGAUUUAGGGAAGCACCUACCACAGUUAUGGCCUGCUUUGAUUCAUUGUCAUGUGUAUUGGAAUCUGGCUGACCAAGAAGUGACGAGAAUGUCUUCUUCCGAGAAGAUAUUUCAUAUGCUACAAAAUAGUUUAGAUUCAGCCAAGCUUCAGGAAAACAUAAAAUAGUGCUGAGAUUAGCUCGAAAUCCACCUUUAAACUUCUGGAGAAGUUCAGGCAUGGAGCCUAAUUUGGGCAUUUUCUCAGCUACUUCAUAACAGCAAAUUCAUGCUGAAAGUGCCUCUAAGGAGCUUUAUGAUGUGACUGAUGGGCAUCUUUUGAACUGUUCCUCCUCCUGCAUGUGAUGCCACCAGCCUGAUAGAGCAUGAAACAGCCCUACUGUUGUUCAACCCUCCCUUUGCUGCUAUUUCCUCAUGAAUCCAAGUGCUACUUCCACAAGAGCAUCUUGUUUUCCACAGCAAUUAAAAGAUCCAGAAUGUACUAUGUGUUCCUUGGAUAGUGGACAACAUGCUGGAUAGUUCCAGAUAAGCAGUGAAAACUAGUAGUAGCUCUUUCAGUACUGGUGUAAACCUGAUGGAAGAUCAGACUCAGACACAAGAGAUUUAUUCAUCUGUUUUAUCCAAAAGGCCACGGUUUCAAAAGGUCUUAAAAAACAUAGCAACAAUACAUUCCAACACUUCCCUCUGAUUAUGGGAAAGCACCCUGCCCUCCAAGCCUAGGUA
This is a long non-coding RNA of Neopsephotus bourkii (Bourke's parrot), 3488 nucleotides long. RefSeq lists it as uncharacterized. Lineage: Eukaryota; Metazoa; Chordata; Aves; Psittaciformes; Psittacidae. The transcript is spliced from 5 exons. The record is from RefSeq and is a predicted model, not a curated record.